UACGGAGGGGGCUAGCGUUGUUCGGAAUUACUGGGCGUAAAGCGCACGUAGGCGGAUUUUUAAGUCAGGGGUGAAAUCCCGAGGCUCAACCUCGGAACUGCCUUUGAUACUGGAGAUCUUGAGUUCGGAAGAGGUUGGUGGAACAGCUAGUGUAGAGGUGAAAUUCGUAGAUAUUAGCUAGAACACCAGUGGCGAAGGCGGCCAACUGGUCCGAUACUGACGCUGAGGUGCGAAAGCGUGGGGAGCAAACAGG
RNAcentral lists this ribosomal RNA (253 nucleotides) under uncultured bacterium. RNAcentral describes it as "partial 16S ribosomal RNA". It matches the Rfam family "Bacterial small subunit ribosomal RNA", at positions 524 to 776 of the family's 1533-position model. The record is from RNAcentral.